UAUGUGAGAGGGAAAGGAGUUCCAGAGCAAGGUUUUCGCGAGGCCCCUCUGCGUCUGGGUUCUGCAGUCAGGCGAGCCCCCAGAUGGAAUUCCAGCCAACGGCAGAACUGAAAUCACUAGACACAGCCUGACCUGAGGCUCCACUGUUCCACAGACCACGCUGACUCAGAGCUGUGAGACCGGCUGAACUUCAUGAGAUAUACAGGAAAUCCAGUUGCAUGAGGCUAACCCUUCUACCGAAUGGCUGACUGCAAUGACCGCUGUGCAAGUGAAGCUGAGAAGAGAUAAGUUUUGGAGCUUCUGCAGCCAUCAUGUGAGUUUGAGGGGAGAGCCUGCCUAUGAAUGAGCCAACACCCAUGGAGAGAAAACACUCGUGAGAGAAAAGCCAACAGGUGUACAUAGAGAAAGCAGUGGCCUUACAGCACCAUCUGAGCCUACCAUUUAGCAGCACAAGACAGCCCCACCUCUGUGCUUUUUA
Long non-coding RNA from Lemur catta (Ring-tailed lemur), 478 nucleotides. RefSeq lists it as uncharacterized. The transcript is spliced from 3 exons. The record is from RefSeq and is a predicted model, not a curated record. NCBI's taxonomy places the organism in Eukaryota, Metazoa, Chordata, Mammalia, Primates, Lemuridae.